GUCGUAUCGGUUAGAUCGGGAUACUCUUCAAAUAAAAAUCGAAAACCGAGAAGACUCCUCUUGCUAAUGGCGGGCCAUAUAAAGCGUUUAUGCGCCUAAGCUGUAAAGCCGGUGGAUUACAAAGGCGGAGGGCUCUCAAAUCAUGUAUACUCGGAGUUUCAUCACAUCACCGGUACGGCCUUCUU
This 185-nucleotide small RNA is filed under the name uncultured Prevotella sp. RNAcentral's name for it is "Bacteroidales-1 6S-Bacteroidales RNA suggested". It matches the Rfam family "Bacteroidales-1 6S-Bacteroidales RNA suggested". The record is from RNAcentral. Lineage: Bacteria; Pseudomonadati; Bacteroidota; Bacteroidia; Bacteroidales; Prevotellaceae.